RNAcentral lists this ribosomal RNA (443 nucleotides) under uncultured bacterium. RNAcentral describes it as "partial 16S ribosomal RNA". It matches the Rfam family "Bacterial small subunit ribosomal RNA", at positions 338 to 795 of the family's 1533-position model. The record is from RNAcentral.
CCUACGGGAGGCAGCAGUAGGGAAUCUUGGGCAAUGGGCGAAAGCCUGACCCAGCAACGCCGCGUGAAGGAAGAAGGCUUUCGGGUUGUAAACUUCUUUUCUCAGGGACGAAGAAAGUGACGGUACCUGAGUAAUAAGCCACGGCUAACUACGUGCCAGCCGCCGCGGUAAUACGUAGGUGGCAAGCGUUAUCCGGAUUUACUGGGUGUAAAGUGCGUGUAGGGGGGAAAGCAAGUCAGAUGUGAAAACCAUGGGCUCAACCUGUGGCCUGCAUUUGAAACUGUUUGUCUUGAGUACUGGAGAGGCAGACGGAAGUCCUAGUGUAGCGGUGAAAUGCGUAGAUAUUAGGAGGAACACCAGUGGCGAAGGCGGUCUGCUGGACAGCAACUGACGCUGAGGCGCGAAAGCGUGGGGAGCAAACAGGAUUAGAUACCCUUGUAGUC